AUACGUAAGGCGCGAGCGUUGUCCGGAAUUACUGGGUGUAAAGGGAGCGUAGGCGGGAGUGCAAGUCAGAUGUGAAAUACAUGGGCUCAACCCAUGGGCUGCAUUUGAAACUGCAUUUCUUGAGUGAAGUAGAGGUAAGCGGAAUUCCUGGUGUAGCGGUGAAAUGCGUAGAUAUCAGGAGGAACACCGGUGGCGAAGGCGGCUUACUGGGCUUUUACUGACGCUGAGGCUCGAAAGCGUGGGGAGCAAACAGGAUUAGAUACCCUGGUAGUCCACGCUGUAAACGAUGAUUACUAGGUGUGGGGGGACUGACCCCUUCCGUGCCGCAGUUAACACAAUAAGUAAUCCACCUGGGGAGUACGGCCGCAAGGUUGAAACUCAAAUGAAUUGACGGGG
RNAcentral lists this ribosomal RNA (396 nucleotides) under uncultured bacterium. RNAcentral's name for it is "partial 16S ribosomal RNA". It matches the Rfam family "Bacterial small subunit ribosomal RNA", at positions 523 to 918 of the family's 1533-position model. The record is from RNAcentral.